AGUGAACGCUGGCGGUAGGCCUAACACAUGCAAGUCGAACGGCAGCACAGUAAGAGCUUGCUCUUACGGGUGGCGAGUGGCGGACGGGUGAGGAAUACAUCGGAAUCUACUUUUUCGUGGGGGAUAACGUAGGGAAACUUACGCUAAUACCGCAUACGACCUACGGGUGAAAGCAGGGGUUCUUCGGACCUUGCGCGAUUGAAUGAGCCGAUGUCGGAUUAGCUAGUUGGCGGGGUAAAGGCCCACCAAGGCGACGAUCCGUAGCUGGUCUGAGAGGAUGAUCAGCCACACUGGAACUGAGACACGGUCCAGACUCCUACGGGAGGCAGCAGUGGGGAAUAUUGGACAAUGGGCGCAAGCCUGAUCCAGCCAUACCGCGUGGGUGAAGAAGGCCUUCGGGUUGUAAAGCCCUUUUGUUGGGAAAGAAAAGCAGCAUGUUAAUACCCCGCUGUUCUGACGGUACCCAAAGAAUAAGCACCGGCUAACUUCGUG
This 492-nucleotide ribosomal RNA is filed under the name uncultured bacterium. RNAcentral's name for it is "partial 16S ribosomal RNA". It matches the Rfam family "Bacterial small subunit ribosomal RNA", at positions 29 to 507 of the family's 1533-position model. The record is from RNAcentral.